This 98-nucleotide ribosomal RNA is filed under the name Pseudonocardiales bacterium. The record is from RNAcentral. Lineage: Bacteria; Bacillati; Actinomycetota; Actinomycetes; Pseudonocardiales.
GGGAAACGCCCGGACCCAUCCCGAACCCGGAAGCUAAGCCCUCCAGCGCCGAUGGUACUGCACCCGCCAGGGUGUGGGAGAGUAGGACACCGCCGAAC